Molecule: unclassified non-coding RNA, 240 nt
Filed under: soil metagenome
Description: partial contains 5.8S ribosomal RNA, internal transcribed spacer 2, and large subunit ribosomal RNA
Source: RNAcentral
AACUGAUACUACCUGCGGGAACCUGCGGAAGGAUCAUUACCGAGUCUCCCCCGGCGGGCGGCCCGCGUCCAGCUGGGCGUCGGGCUGCUCCCGCCCGGGUGUCGACCCAACCGUGUCUACCUGCACCUGUUGCCUCGGCGGGGAUGUCCGGCUGGCUCCCCGCCGGAAGGCCACCAGAGAACCUCAGUGGAAUGGCGGUCUGUCUCAGCUAAAAUCUAGUUAAGCAAAAACUUUUAACAA